RNAcentral lists this ribosomal RNA (465 nucleotides) under uncultured bacterium. RNAcentral describes it as "partial 16S ribosomal RNA". It matches the Rfam family "Bacterial small subunit ribosomal RNA", at positions 28 to 507 of the family's 1533-position model. The record is from RNAcentral.
GACGAGCGCUGGCGGCGUGCAUAACACAUGCAAGUCGAACGGAAAGGCCCUGCUUGCAGGGUACUCGAGUGGCGAACGGGUGAGUAACACGUGGGUGAUCUGCCCUGCACUUCGGGAUAAGCCUGGGAAACUGGGUCUAAUACCGGAUAGGAGCCAUUUUUAGUGUGAUGGUUGGAAAGUUUUUUCGGUGUAGGAUGAGCUCGCGGCCUAUCAGCUUGUUGGUGGGGUAAUGGCCUACCAAGGCGGCGGCGGGUAGCCGGCCUGGGAGGGUGGACGGCCACAUUGGGACUGGGAUACGGCCCAGACUCCUACGGGAGGCAGCAGUGGGGAAUAUUGCACAAUGGGCGCGAGCCUGAUGCAGCGACGCCGCGGGGGGGAUGACGGCCUUCGGGUUGUAAACUCCUUUCGCUAGGGACGAAGCUUUUUGUGACGGUACCUAGAUAAGAAGCACCGGCUAACUACGUG